Molecule: ribosomal RNA, 1526 nt
Filed under: uncultured bacterium
Lineage: Bacteria
Description: bacterial SSU rRNA
Rfam family: Bacterial small subunit ribosomal RNA
Source: RNAcentral
AGAGUUUGAUCCUGGCUCAGGAUGAACGCUAGCGGCAGGCUUAACACAUGCAAGUCGAGGGGCAGCAUGGGAGGUGGCGACACCACCCGAUGGCGACCGGCGCACUGGUGAGUAACACGUAUGCAACCUGCCCCCUACAGGGGAAUAACCCAGAGAAAUUUGGCCUAAUACCCCGUAGUCAGCGAGAGGGCAUCCUCCUGCUGGGAAAGCUCCGGCGGUAGGGGAUGGGCAUGCGGCGCAUUAGCUUGUUGGCGGGGCGACGGCCCACCAAGGCGACGAUGCGUAGGGGUUCUGAGAGGAAGGUCCCCCACACUGGUACUGAGACACGGACCAGACUCCUACGGGAGGCAGCAGUGAGGAAUAUUGGUCAAUGGGCGCAGGCCUGAACCAGCCAAGUCGCGUGCGGGAAGACGGCCCUACGGGUUGUAAACCGCUUUAGCCGGGGAGUAACGUGCGGCACGCGUGCCGUAUUGAGAGUACCCGGAGAAUAAGCAUCGGCUAACUCCGUGCCAGCAGCCGCGGUAAUACGGAGGAUGCGAGCGUUAUCCGGAUUCAUUGGGUUUAAAGGGUGCGCAGGCGGCGCUCCAAGUCAGCGGUCAAAGUUCCGGGCUCAACCCGGUGCCGCCGUUGAAACUGGAGUGCUUGAGCAGGUGCGACGGAGGCGGAAUGCGUGGUGUAGCGGUGAAAUGCAUAGAUAUCACGCAGAACCCCGAUUGCGAAGGCAGCUUCCGAGCACCCGUCUGACGCUGAGGCACGAAAGCGUGGGUAUCGAACAGGAUUAGAUACCCUGGUAGUCCACGCGGUAAACAAUGAAUACUGGUUAUCCGGUCCGUUUUUGGUCUGGGUGACUCAAGCGAAAGCAUUAAGUAUUCCACCUGGGGAGUACGCCGGCAACGGUGAAACUCAAAGGAAUUGACGGGGGCCCGCACAAGCGGAGGAACAUGUGGUUUAAUUCGAUGAUACACGAGGAACCUUACCCGGGCUCAAACGCGCAGAGACAGUCGCGGAAACGCGAUCUCCCCUCGGGGCCCUGUGCGAGGUGCUGCAUGGUUGUCGUCAGCUCGUGCCGUGAGGUGUCGGCUUAAGUGCCAUAACGAGCGCAACCCCCAUCUCCAGUUGCCACCGCGUCAUGGCGGGCACUCUGGAGAGACUGCCGGCGCAAGCUGUGAGGAAGGCGGGGAUGACGUCAAAUCAGCACGGCCCUUACGUCCGGGGCGACACACGUGUUACAAUGGCGGGGCACAGAAGGAAGCCAGGCUGCGAGGCCGAGCUGAUCCCGAAAACCCGUCUCAGUUCGGAUCGGAGUCUGCAACCCGACUCCGUGAAGCUGGAUUCGCUAGUAAUCGCGCAUCAGCCAUGGCGCGGUGAAUACGUUCCCGGGCCUUGUACACACCGCCCGUCAAGCCAUGGAAGCCUGGAGUGCCUGAAGUGCGUGACCGCGAGGAGCGCCCAAGGGUAAGACAGGUGACUGGGGCUAAGUCGUAACAAGGUAGCCGUACCGGAAGGUGCGGCUGGAACACCUCCUU